GGACUACCAGGGUAUCUAAUCCCGUUCGCUCCCCAUGCUGUCGUGUCUCAGCGUCAGUCGUGUGCCAGGCAGCCGCCUUCGCCUCUGGUGUUCCUCCGGAUCUCUACGCAUUUCACCACUACACCCGGAAUUCCGCUGCCCUCUCACACCCUCUAGGUCGCCAGUCUCGCACAGCCUCCGCGCGUUGAGCGCACGGCUUUCAUGCACGACUUAACGACCCGCCUGCACACCCUUUAAGCCCAGUAAAUCCGGAUAACGCUCGCCUCCUACGUAUUACCGCGGCUGCUGGCAC
RNAcentral lists this ribosomal RNA (292 nucleotides) under uncultured bacterium. RNAcentral's name for it is "partial 16S ribosomal RNA". The record is from RNAcentral.